AUGGUCGCCGACUGUCUGCUACUUGGAAGGAGUUCAUGGAGUUGCUUAACGCUCCAGAUGAAGGGCUCAACACGCCAGUUGGAGUUCGCCCUCAUGCCAACUCUGAGUCUGCCAACAAGAACAAGCUCCAUGCCAUUCCUUGUUCCGAAGACUCUUCCCAACAAGAAGACUGCGUGGGUGCUUAAUCCCUUCCUUGACAUCAUGCAUCGGCUCUUCCGGAACACCCUCUUCCCACGCAUUGGGGACAUGGGCCAGGUACAUGCUUACCUCGUUGAGAUGAUGCUUAUCUGCAAGGAGGCCCGUCAGGCUCAGACUCAACCACUUGAUGUCUCACAUAUCAUGUGGUGUGAGCUUCAGUUCACCGUGUUCAACCGUAAGGUACCCAUCUAUGGGCCUUACCUGUUCCACUUGAUCUCCAAGACAUGGGAGAGGUUGUUUCCCAAUGAUGAGUUUGAAGCUCCAGGGUGGAUUCGUCAUGAGCCCAUCAGGCUCCGCUUCAAGCCACAAUGGGCUAACACCACCACUUCCGUUGAGGCUGCCAGGAGGGUUGUGGAUGAGGAGGAAAUUGGGGGGGAAGAAGUUGCUGCUGACCGUUCUGCAUUCACUACUCCCUCUGCCGAGCCAUCUUGGGCAAAGAAGCUGCAGAUCAAGAUGAAGAGGCUUUUCUGCAUGCAGGUCCAGAGUCAGUACAAGGCUCAUGUUGCUCAAAAGGAGGCCCGUCGUCGCGACAACAGGAUUUUGAGGGCAUGCGGCGAGGAUGUGGCCAGCGGCUCUGAGAGGCACAUCACCCCCGAGGCUGCCUGGAUGGCUAAGCAGGGCUACAAGUGGACUGAUUCUGAGGAAGAGUACGUUCCUGCUAUGGAGUCUGACGAUGAGGAGUCCUUUUGUGCCUGA
RNAcentral lists this ribosomal RNA (894 nucleotides) under Triticum aestivum (bread wheat). RNAcentral describes it as "partial small subunit ribosomal RNA". The record is from RNAcentral. Lineage: Eukaryota; Viridiplantae; Streptophyta; Magnoliopsida; Poales; Poaceae.